This 222-nucleotide ribosomal RNA is filed under the name uncultured bacterium. RNAcentral's name for it is "partial 16S ribosomal RNA". It matches the Rfam family "Bacterial small subunit ribosomal RNA", at positions 524 to 741 of the family's 1533-position model. The record is from RNAcentral.
UACGGUAGGGUGCAAGCGUUAAUCGGAAUUACUGGGGCGUAAAGCGUGCGCAGGCGGCUAUGCAAGACAGAUGUGAAAUCCCCGGGCUCAACCUGGGAACUGCAUUUGUGACUGCAUAGCGUAGAGUACGGUAGAGGGGGAUGGAAUUCCGCGUGUAGCAGUGAAAUGCGUAGAUAUGCGGAGGAACACCGAUGGCGAAGGCAAUCCCCCUGGACCUGUACU